RNAcentral lists this ribosomal RNA (496 nucleotides) under uncultured bacterium. Its description in RNAcentral is "partial 16S ribosomal RNA". It matches the Rfam family "Bacterial small subunit ribosomal RNA", at positions 29 to 507 of the family's 1533-position model. The record is from RNAcentral.
AUGCACGCUGGCGGCGUGCCUCAUCCCUGCAAGUCGCGCGCACAGACGAGGAGCUUGCUCCUCUGACGUUAGCAGCGGACGGGUGAGUAACACGUGGAUAACCUACCUAUAAGACUGGGAUAACUUCGGGAAACCGGAGCUAAUACCGGAUAAUAUAUUGAACCGCAUGGUUCAAUAGUGAAAGACGGUUUUGCUGUCACUUAUAGAUGGAUCCGCGCCGCAUUAGCUAGUUGGUAAGGUAACGGCUUACCAAGGCAACGAUGCGUAGCCGACCUGAGAGGGUGAUCGGCCACACUGGAACUGAGACACGGUCCAGACUCCUACGGGAGGCAGCAGUAGGGAAUCUUCCGCAAUGGGCGAAAGCCUGACGGAGCAACGCCGCGUGAGUGAUGAAGGUCUUCGGAUCGUAAAACUCUGUUAUUAGGGAAGAACAAAUGUGUAAGUAACUAUGCACGUCUUGACGGUACCUAAUCAGAAAGCCACGGCUAACUACGUG